CAAGAAAGAACACUAAACAUCUCCAACUCAUCACCUUUGCUGUCUGCAGAAAUAGGAAGGACACCUGCAGCAAAGUACAGAGGUUUGCAAUGCCACUAGGUUGGGAGGGCUGUGCAGCAGCUCCAGAACGUGGGUUGAAGAGUGAAGUGCAGCACGGUCUGAGAAGCAACGUGAGCUGGGUGACUGUGGCGACCUGCAGAACUGGGAGACCGUGAGUGUUUUUUGGAGGUAUCUCCAGGAAGCUAAGAUCUUGUGAUGGGCUAUGCAGAAGGAUCUUUACACUACAUGUUACUGAUCCUAGAAACUGUGAUUAUGGACUUUUGCCUUUCAACACUUCAGGCUGUGAUUUACAGUGACUCGAUCAACUGAACCCUACUGACUCCUCAACCUCACUUCAAAUCCCAGCAUUCAGAACCAAAACAACCUGGAUCUCAGUUUUCCCUCAGUACAGAAUCCACCACAGCCGAGUGCUUUCCUGCCCAUCUUGUCCAGUUGCAUUCUUGGUUACAGCGUGACACAAACACCUCUUUACAGAGGAACAGACCAACAGAGACAUGAAAACUGAACUGGACCGCAUUCCAACAACCCUUAAAUGACAUAUUCCUUCAAUUAAAUGCCAAGUCACGGGAAAAAAGGGCAAUUAAAGACCACGAUAAUAUAUUGUAAACACGGAAGAUUCAGAGCAAUCAAUCUAUGGACAGAAAACACAUUUCCAAGUAUUGAGGGAAGCUGAGUGGUGAGCUGCUCCUUGAAUUUGUACAGACUUGAUACCACCAUAGAGGCUGAGCUCAAACGUUUAAAUCGAUGAAAUUCAAAUUGCAAGUCAAAUAUAGCACUAAGCUUACAAUUGAAUGA
This is a long non-coding RNA of Nothoprocta perdicaria, 855 nucleotides long. RefSeq lists it as uncharacterized. The transcript has 4 exons. Lineage: Eukaryota; Metazoa; Chordata; Aves; Tinamiformes; Tinamidae. The record is from RefSeq and is a predicted model, not a curated record.